Molecule: ribosomal RNA, 785 nt
Filed under: uncultured marine bacterium
Lineage: Bacteria
Description: bacterial SSU rRNA
Rfam family: Bacterial small subunit ribosomal RNA
Source: RNAcentral
UGAUCCUGGCUCAGGAUGAACGCUAGCGGCAGGCUUAACACAUGCAAGUCGAGGGGCAACAUGGGUGCUUGCACUUGAUGACGACCGGCGAACGGGUGCGUAACGCGUAUAGAAUCUGCCUUGUACAGGAGGAUAACCUUUAGAAAUGAAGACUAACACUCCAUAAUGUAGUAGAUUGGCAUCAAUUUAUUAUUAAAUAUUUAUAGGUACAAGAUGACUAUGCGUCCUAUUAGCUAGAUGGUAAGGUAACGGCUUACCAUGGCGACGAUAGGUAGGGGGUCUGAGAGGAUUAUCCCCCACACUGGUACUGAGACACGGACCAGACUCCUACGGGAGGCAGCAGUGAGGAAUAUUGGACAAUGGAGGCAACUCUGAUCCAGCCAUGCCGCGUGCAGGAAGACUGCCCUAUGGGUUGUAAACUGCUUUUAUACAGGAAGAAACAGUGAUACGUGUAUCACCUUGACGGUACUGUAAGAAUAAGGACCGGCUAACUCCGUGCCAGCAGCCGCGGUAAUACGGAGGGUCCAAGCGUUAUCCGGAAUCAUUGGGUUUAAAGGGUCCGCAGGCGGUUAAUUAAGUCAGAGGUGAAAUCCCAUCGCUUAACGAUGGAACUGCCUUUGAUACUGGUUGACUUGAGUCAUAUGGAAGUAGAUAGAAUAAGUAGUGUAGCGGUGAAAUGCAUAGAUAUUACUUAGAAUACCGAUUGCGAAGGCAGUCUACUACGUAUGUACUGACGCUCAUGGACGAAAGCGUGGGGAGCGAACAGGAUUAGAUACCCUGGUAGU